UACGUAGGGUGCGAGCGUUAAUCGGAAUUACUGGGCGUAAAGCGUGCGCAGGCGGUUUUGUAAGCCAGGUGUAGAAAUCCCCGGGCUCAACCUGGGAAUGGCAUUUGGGACUGCAAGGCUGGAGUGCGGCAGAGGGAGACUGGAAUUCCUGGUGUAGCAGUGAAAUGCGUAGAUAUCAGGAGGAACACCGAUGGCGAAGGCAGGUCUCUGGGCUGACACUGACGCUCAUGCACGAAAGCGUGGGGAGCAAACAGG
This 255-nucleotide ribosomal RNA is filed under the name uncultured bacterium. RNAcentral's name for it is "partial 16S ribosomal RNA". It matches the Rfam family "Bacterial small subunit ribosomal RNA", at positions 524 to 776 of the family's 1533-position model. The record is from RNAcentral.